GGGGACGUUUUGGAUUAGACAGGACGUUUCGGUGAGGGUAUGCAGCGUGUCGGAGAGCUGUUCUCCGUUAUCAACGGGCAAUUAAAUUAAAUGCUAACGAUGUAAUUGAAGCUGAUUUUUCAAGAGCAGUUGCAAAAGCUGCCUAAGUCAGUGCUUAGCUACUUAUAAAGCCCAGCUUGCCGGUUUUAUAGGUCCAUUAUGCAAGCGGCAAUACGUUGAUGCAAAGUAGGCGUACCAAGAUUACUUUGCAAGGUUUAGAGUUUCCUUUAAAUAAAACCUAGGAUUAAUUCGUAUGGUUUAGACUUUUCCCUGAAUUAAUUGAGCAAAAAAUAGUCUACGCAUGUAGAAGUAUAUUUUCAUCCGUUUUGGACAGGGGUUCGACUCCCCUCGUCUCCACCA
This 399-nucleotide transfer-messenger RNA is filed under the name Candidatus Gastranaerophilaceae. RNAcentral's name for it is "UBA2813 sp902766395 Standard tmRNA". It matches the Rfam family "transfer-messenger RNA". Rfam says of the family: Bacterial tmRNA, also known as 10Sa RNA or SsrA, is named for its dual tRNA and mRNA-like properties. RNAcentral also lists the same sequence under 1 other name. The record is from RNAcentral. Lineage: Bacteria; Bacillati; Candidatus Melainabacteria; Candidatus Gastranaerophilales.